This 467-nucleotide ribosomal RNA is filed under the name uncultured bacterium. RNAcentral's name for it is "partial 16S ribosomal RNA". It matches the Rfam family "Bacterial small subunit ribosomal RNA", at positions 29 to 507 of the family's 1533-position model. The record is from RNAcentral.
ACGAACGCUGGCGGCGUGCUUAACACAUGCAAGUCGAACGGAAAGGCCCUGCUUUUGUGGGGUGCUCGAGUGGCGAACGGGUGAGUAACACGUGAGUAACCUGCCCUUGACUUUGGGAUAACUUCAGGAAACUGGGGCUAAUACCGGAUAGGAGCUCCUGCUGCAUGGUGGGGGUUGGAAAGUUUUGGCGGUUGGGGAUGGACUCGCGGCUUAUCAGCUUGUUGGUGGGGUAGUGGCUUACCAAGGCUUUGACGGGUAGCCGGCCUGAGAGGGUGACCGGCCACAUUGGGACUGAGAUACGGCCCAGACUCCUACGGGAGGCAGCAGUGGGGAAUAUUGCACAAUGGGCGGAAGCCUGAUGCAGCAACGCCGCGUGCGGGAUGACGGCCUUCGGGUUGUAAACCGCUUUCGCCUGUGACGAAGCGUGAGUGACGGUAAUGGGUAAAGAAGCACCGGCUAACUACGUG